GGUAAGGUGGCUGAGUAAGCGGUGGAUUGUAGCCCCAUAUACAGAGGUGUGAGCCCUCUUCUUACCA
Molecule: transfer RNA, 67 nt
Filed under: Acanthocepola krusensternii (red-spotted bandfish)
Lineage: Eukaryota; Metazoa; Chordata; Actinopteri; Priacanthiformes; Cepolidae (in: ray-finned fishes)
Description: tRNA-Tyr
Rfam family: tRNA
About the family: Transfer RNA (tRNA) molecules are approximately 80 nucleotides in length. Their secondary structure includes four short double-helical elements and three loops (D, anti-codon, and T loops). Further hydrogen bonds mediate the characteristic L-shaped molecular structure. tRNAs have two regions of fundamental functional importance: the anti-codon, which is responsible for specific mRNA codon recognition, and the 3' end, to which the tRNAs corresponding amino acid is attached (by aminoacyl-tRNA synthetases). tRNAs cope with the degeneracy of the genetic code in two manners: having more than one tRNA (with a specific anti-codon) for a particular amino acid; and 'wobble' base-pairing, i.e. permitting non-standard base-pairing at the 3rd anti-codon position.
Source: RNAcentral